GUGGGGAAUAUUGGACAAUGGGCGAAAGCCUGAUCCAGCCAUGCCGCGUGUGUGAAGAAGGUCUUCGGAUUGUAAAGCACUUUAAGUUGGGAGGAAGGGCAGUAAGUUAAUACCUUGCUGUUUUGACGUUACCGACAGAAUAAGCACCGGCUAACUUCGUGCCAGCAGCCGCGGUAAUACGAAGGGUGCAAGCGUUAAUCGGAAUUACUGGGCGUAAAGCGCGCGUAGGUGGUUUUGUAAGUUGGAGGUGAAAUCCCCGGGCUCAACCUGGGAACUGCCUCCAAAACUGCAUGACUAGAGUACGGUAGAGGGUAGUGGAAUUUCCUGGGUAGCGGUGAAAUGCGUAGAUAUAGGAAGGAACACCAGUGGCGAAGGCGACUACCUGGACUGAUACUGACACUGGGGUGCGAAAGCGUGGGGAGCAAACAGGAUUAGAUACCCUGGUAGUCC
RNAcentral lists this ribosomal RNA (450 nucleotides) under uncultured bacterium. RNAcentral describes it as "partial 16S ribosomal RNA". It matches the Rfam family "Bacterial small subunit ribosomal RNA", at positions 354 to 796 of the family's 1533-position model. The record is from RNAcentral.